AGUCCGGGUCUAUAGGUUAACCUAAUUAAUUCUAAUCAAUCAAUUUGGUGUCUAAGGCAAGUAUUAGAUGAUGGUUAUUUAAUUGGUUCCAUUGUCUGACCUGGCCAAUUCAUUGGUGUUGGGUAUAAAAUAUCCCCAGCCAAAGUUCGUGAAAGGCCGACCCUCCAUGGGCUCUUCCAGCUUCCGACCUUGUGCAAUGUCUUUCUGAACUCCCCCGGCUGUCCGAGCUUCCAUAAUACCAUCCGGACUUCUCUGAUAAUGAGCUCCUCCAUCCAUCUACCGGACUGCUCCAAAUGCUCUCUGGGCUUCAUUAUCAGCCGACUUUCUACAGUGAUUGGCUACCCUCUGAAUCUCUUCCAGACUUCCUCUUGCCAUGAGCAACUUUACUCCGAACUUCUUUCGGACUUCAUCAAUGUCCGAGCUUCUCCAACAGUAGAACUUCUACAGUAACCAGACUUCAUCCAAGUUUCUAUAGUGGUCAACCAUCUUUCGAAUUUCAUCCGGGCUCCUACAAGAGCCGGAUCCCAGCCGAACUUCUACAGUAGAUGGAUUCCAGACGAAUUUCUAUAACGGACAGGCUCCACCAGUCGAAUCUCUACUCCGAACUUCUUUCAAACUUUGUCAAUGAUUGGGC
Molecule: long non-coding RNA, 634 nt
Filed under: Elaeis guineensis (African oil palm)
Lineage: Eukaryota; Viridiplantae; Streptophyta; Magnoliopsida; Arecales; Arecaceae
Description: long non-coding RNA (EGUI_LNC050777)
Source: RNAcentral